Molecule: long non-coding RNA, 1703 nt
Organism: Gallus gallus (chicken)
Lineage: Eukaryota; Metazoa; Chordata; Aves; Galliformes; Phasianidae
Exons: 4
Source: RefSeq, a predicted model, not a curated record
AGCGGAAACCCCGAAAGCAGCGGCAGCGGCGGGAAGGGGCUCCAAGGAGCAAAGAAGUUCCUUACUGUGAGGCUGCCAUGGCAGACGUUUUCUUUGGAAUAUACAAGUGGUGUUCCAGGUAUCCUGUGAGGUCUUCAACAGUCACAUCAUCGACAUAGGUGGGAGCCUCCUCAGAAUAGGAUGUGGGAGAAGUCCACGAGGCUGUUUCACAGAGGGGUCUGUUAAGCGUGGAUAAGGAGAAACAAGCUGAGGUUUGGCUGUUGUGUGAGUCAGAGUGGAAGGAUGAGGGCAGAGCGAGGCAGUUCUCCCGUGACAGAGCGCAGUGUCUCCUGGUGGAGGCAGAAAUCCCCACCGUGCUCAGUGCUGUUCCCUGCCACCACGUCAGCCCACAUCCCCUGCUGGGGACAGCGUGCUGCCAGCAUAUGCCGGGUCACCUGCUGUCCGUGGGGACCGGGUAACGGCACGGAGCAGUGUGAGGACUGCAGCCCCGCUUAGCAGUGUGCCCCGUGGAUGUGGGGCUGCCCCAUGGCUGUGGCCGCUGCAGUGAGGGCUCCUCCGUGGGGCUGCGGUGUGUGCCUGCCUGCCUGCCAUCCCAGGGUGGGCCGGGAGAGGAGAGCAGCUGAGCUGGCAUGGUGCCUGCGCCUGGGGAGCUAUUUGGAGAUGCGUUUGAUGUCUCCGCCGCAAGGGUGAUGGAUGCUGGGGCGAACGUCGUGAUGGCACAGCCAACGCUCUGUGCUGGGCUUUGAAGUCCCCCGAGCGGAGCAUCCCAGCUCGCAGAUUUGGGAAGACAUGGACUACGGGGCAGGAGAUGCUACUUGCCAAGGCGGCUACGUGAGGAGCAGCCUCAGAGCUCAACAUCCCAGCUGCACCCUGCUCCAGGAGGACGCAGGAGUUCCCCGUCAGCUGUGCCUUCCUCCGCAUCUCUGUCACUGUGUCCCCGGUGUGCAGAGCCCGGUGAGAUGCCGCCACGCACCGUGGGCUCCUGAAGCCAUGGAGCAGCACAGACCCAAGGAGGAGGACGAGCAGGCUGAGGUGAUGCUGCCCGUUGCUUGCAGUGGGUGCUGCAGCUUGCCUGGAGGAAGCCCCCACAAUAACUCAGUGCGUAAACGUGGGAGGAUACAGGACAGGAGACCUGGAACGUCCGUGCCGUGAGAGACCGGCCGGUCCUCCUGCAGUCCUCUCACACCUGCAGGGUCAGAACAGGUGAACAGACUGAGACGGCUGUUGGUGUGCAGUCCCUGACAGGAGCAGCGGAAGAGCCUUAAGGAAGCGGGGCUCUCCCAGAAGAGAGAGGCACGCAAACACUGCUGCUGUAAAGCUUCAGGUGAUGGGCUGCGACAAUUGCGUGUGCAGCCCUGAGCUCCUCUGCACUCAGCGGUGAGAAACGGGACCCGCCAGAGAUCUGUCAGAGCGCUCCGUCUCUGCUGAGCGCGGUACCGACAGCCGCGCACCGCUCCGCGCCACUCACCGCGCCGCGUCCACCCGCAGCUCCUGGAGGGCCGUCCGCAGGCUGCGCUCCUCCUCGUCCUCGUCGUCGUCGUCCUCGUCCUCGUCGUCGUCCUGCUGCUGCUGCUGCUGCUCCUCCUCGUCCUCGUGCCGCCUGUUUGCAAGCCAAGGACACGUGAAAGGAACGUCAGCGGGACUGAGGCGGAGCUGCACCCAGCCUGUGGUGGGCGACCCAAUAAAAGCCAAGUGUUUCGUAA